Molecule: ribosomal RNA, 254 nt
Filed under: uncultured bacterium
Lineage: Bacteria
Description: partial 16S ribosomal RNA
Rfam family: Bacterial small subunit ribosomal RNA
Source: RNAcentral
UACGUAGGGGGCAAGCGUUGUCCGGAUUUAUUGGGCGUAAAGAGCUCGUAGGCGGUUUGGCAAGUCGGGUGUGAAACCUCCAGGCUCAACCUGGAGUCGCCACCCGAUACUGCUAUGACUUGAGUCUGGUAGGGGAUCACGGAAUUCCUGGUGUAGCGGUGAAAUGCACAGAUAUCAGGAGGAACACCGGCGGCGAAGGCGGUGAUCUGGGCCAGUACUGACGCUCAAGAGCGAAAGCGUGGGUAGCGAACAGG